Molecule: ribosomal RNA, 393 nt
Filed under: Lysiphlebus fabarum
Lineage: Eukaryota; Metazoa; Arthropoda; Insecta; Hymenoptera; Braconidae
Description: partial 28S ribosomal RNA
Source: RNAcentral
CCUGAGAAACCCAAAAGAUCGAAUGGGGAGAUUCAUCGUCAAUAUGUUUAAUAUUAAUAUAUAUUAUGAUAUGUUAAAUUUUUUUAAUUUUAUAUUAUUAAAUUUUUUCAUACAUAUAUAUAUUAUUUUAUUGUUUUACAUUGUCGGCGUGCACUUCUCCCCUAGUAGGACAUCGCGACCCGUUAGAUGUUGGUUUACGACCAAAUUGGGUAGCCUUUAUAUUAUUUUAUUAUAAUUAAAGACCAAUUUGUGUUUUCUAACCAAGUAUUUGACGGUAAACGUAUGGUAUUAAGUCGCAUUUUAAUAUAUUUAUGCGUUCUCUACCCGUCGCAAGCGAGGCCUUUUUUGUUAGUUUACAGACUUUGUGCUGUCUAAUAAAAAUUUGGUCAGCUG